GAUGAACGCUAGCUACAGGCUUAACACAUGCAAGUCGAGGGGCAGCGGUAUCGGAAGCUUGCUUUCGGUAGCCGGCGACCGGCGCACGGGUGAGUAACGCGUAUCGAACCUGCCUCAUACUCGGGAAUAGCCUUGCGAAAGUAAGAUUAAUGCCCGGUGUUUUCAGAGUCCCGCAUGAGGCUUUGAACAAAGAUUUAUCGGUAUGAGAUGGCGAUGCGUCCCAUUAGCUUGUUGGCGGGGUAACGGCCCACCAAGGCAUCGAUGGGUAGGGGUUCUGGAAGGAAGGUCCCCCACAUUGGAACUUGGACACGGUCCAAACUCCUACGGUAGGCAGCAGUGAGGAAUAUUGGUCAAUGGGCGGAAGCCUGAACCAGCCAAGUAGCGUGCAGGAAGACGGCCCUCCGGGUUGUAAACUGCUUUUAGUUGGGAAUAAAACGGGGCUCGUGAGCCCCCUUGCAUGUACCAUCAGAAAAAGGACCGGCUAAUUCCGUGCCAGCAGCCGCCGCCG
RNAcentral lists this ribosomal RNA (508 nucleotides) under uncultured bacterium. RNAcentral describes it as "partial 16S ribosomal RNA". It matches the Rfam family "Bacterial small subunit ribosomal RNA", at positions 28 to 523 of the family's 1533-position model. The record is from RNAcentral.